GCAUGCCUAACACAUGCAAGUCGAACGGAAACGAUGGGAGCUUGCUCCCAGGCGUCGAGUGGCGGACGGGUGAGUAAUACAUAGGAAUCUACCCAGUAGUGGGGGAUAACUUGGAGAAAUCCAUGCUAAUACCGCAUAUGCCCUACGGGGCAAAGCAGGGGACCCUCGGGCCUUGCGCUAUUGGAUGAGCCUAUGUCGGAUUAGCUAGUUGGUAGGGUAAAAGCCUACCAAGGCUACGAUCCGUAGCUGGUCUGAGAGGAUGAUC
This 265-nucleotide ribosomal RNA is filed under the name uncultured bacterium. Its description in RNAcentral is "partial 16S ribosomal RNA". It matches the Rfam family "Bacterial small subunit ribosomal RNA", at positions 42 to 305 of the family's 1533-position model. The record is from RNAcentral.